Long non-coding RNA from Daucus carota subsp. sativus, 3432 nucleotides. RefSeq lists it as uncharacterized. Lineage: Eukaryota; Viridiplantae; Streptophyta; Magnoliopsida; Apiales; Apiaceae. The record is from RefSeq and is a predicted model, not a curated record. The transcript has 2 exons.
GGAAGGAGAAGAGAAGAUAACAAAUUAUGGUUAUGGUCUAUCUUUUUCACUUUAUGUAUAUUUAAAGAAAGAAAGUAAGUAGCGAAGAGGAAUCCAUGUAGUCCAAGCACUCCCAGACAAAGGCACUUCUGAAGAGAAAAAGCAGCAUUUGCUUUACUGACCCGGAAAAAGAAGAGAGAAUUCAAAACCCACCAUAAACAAUGAGGCUCUUGGGAAAUUGCAUGGUUACUGCUACUCCAUCUCUCUCCCUCUCUCUCUCCUUAGAAACAUUCUUUCUAUUCUCUCUCUUGUCUAUAUUUAGUGGGGAGACUAUGGGGUGCAACUCGAACCCCACAUCCUCCUUCAUUCCCUCUACAACAAUUUGUGACAACCCCACCAAGAUUACCCAAAUCAUAGUCUUAGAGCUAAUCUGCUUCCCUUGGUUGUCCCUCUUUGCCCAUGCCGUUUCAUCUUGUUCAUUCUCACUCUCAACUUUGUGGGGCUUCUCUAUUAUAUAUACACACCUAGGUUUCUCAUUUUUAUAAACACCCUAGCCUAAUCUCUCCCAAUCUCUCCAGCUUCUUUCACAUCUCUUCCAAUCUCUCUCUCUCCAGAUUCUCUCCCAAUCUCUCCAGCUUCUUUCACAUCUCUCUCUCUCUCUCUCUCUCUCUCUCUUUCUCUUCCUCCCUAAAUUGAGCUAUCCCUUUCAUCCUCUUUCUUCAUCUCGCUGAAAGUAACAUCCCCCAGUAAGUUUUCAGAAAACCUAGCUAUACUUAUUCUCUGAUGAAUAGUAUGUUGAUGAGCUAUGAGGGUGAGAUUUGGAGAAUGCAUAUAGGGUGAAGAUUAAACCCUAUCUGCAACUGGUAGCUAGUUAUAUUUUGUAGUCACAAGCCAAGCAAAAGAUUUUGUGCUUGAUGAUAUUAAAUGGUGACUGCAUGUGUCCUUUUCUUUGCUUGUUUAUAGCAAUGGAGCUUAGUUAUUUGAUGUUGUCAUGAGGGGUAGCAUUGGAAAGAAAUGCAGGUUGUGUAGAGUGUGAAGCCUCCUUGAUAUUGUUUGAUUAAGCUAUCUAGCUAGCUAGACUAUCUUUGUAAUGUCUCACAAAUAAGAAUGCAAUUAUUGAUUGCUUGGCUAUCUCUGUCACAUACAUAUUGUUCACACCGGCCUUGUUUUAUAUCUGUGAAUCUUGGUAAUCUCUGUGAGCAACAGAUUAGUUAUUGUAUGAGUUUGAACCAGAAGUUGAUCUGCAAUUAAACCUACAUUUGUGAUGGUUAACAUUAUUUUAUGAUAAUUAUGGAGUAUAAUGAACAUUCACAAGGGUUUAUAUCUUGAUGUAUGAGCUUAUUGUCAACUUUAGGCUUGUAAAUUGGAGUUUUGUUAAUGUACAAGUUCUGAAAUGAUUAUAGCCUUUUAUAGAGUUAUAGCCUAUAGGGAUAGCCAUUUGCCUCUGUCCUUUUCUUCAAGAAGGAGCAGUGCAAAAAGUUUACCUAUAAUUAGGUUGUCCUUUAAGAACAUUAGUUCAUGUUAAUUAUGUAUUUGAAAAACCAAAUCACAGAGGUUUGUUCGAAUUUAAUUAUUGUUUAAAGAAAAAUUGUCUGCUGCAGCCUGCAUGAUAGAGUUCGAAUUUGAAUUCUAUCACAGAAGCUCUAAUACUUCUUGAGUUUAAGGUUAUAAAUCUCUAUAAAUUUCAAGGUGUCUGAAAGCAUUUAUUUAUACAUCUUUAAUAUUAAUUUAUACAUGUUUAAAAGAGGGUACGUACUUAACAUUACCGUACUGGAAUUAAUAUAGACUUACUCGAAAAUAAAUAAAUUAGGGUGUAUUCUUUCCGUAUAAUUCAUUACCCUUUCCGUGAAGAUGUUUGUUUUAUAUGAUAAGUGAUGUCAAUAUUUAAGCCUUAUUUGUUCAUCUAACAGUGAUCUGUGUUUUUAUUGAAGAAAAAUCUUAGUGACAGCUGAUUUCACAGUAUUAUUACGUAUGAACAUGGUUCUAAAAAUUCCUGAUUAUAUCACAAUUUAUAUUUUAAUAAAUAUUUUACUGAUCAUGUUCUUAUUUGAUUAAAGAAAUUUGAUUUAUCCAAAAACAUUUCAAUAUAUUUUCUGUAAAUCCUGAAUUUAUAGAUAUAGGCCCUGUUUGAGGAUUAGCAGUUAGCUGUUAGCGGAUUGAAUUAGAUGUUUUGACUAGCAAUUUAAUUAGCUGUUUUUCGUAAAACUGUUUGGUAAAUAGCUGAUUGAUUAUCUUUUUCUGAAAAAAAUCAAAACCUCUAACCCAAAAAGCUCCUUAAAGUAGCUUUUUUAAAAUUAGCGUUUUGGGUCCAAACCUCUAUUUCAAUCAGCUAACUAUCAAACACUUAUAUAGUUAUAUUAACGGAUUCUAGCGGUCAAACCUCCAAACCACCCCAAACUUCUAAUUUUGCUCCAAACCUCUAACUUUCAAACAGGACCAUAGUUAAAUUGAUGUAAUAAUUAAUAUAUAGGUUUAUCAUGCUACCAGUAGCUAUAUGUAUUGACAUAAAGAAAGAAACUGAAUCAGCUGUUCAUAGCAUCAUCUGGUAUAUAUAGGUAUAGCUUUAGACUUUAAAGUACUCUUCAUAAUGCAAUUAUCUAACUCUGAAUGACAUAAAUUAGCCAAGUCACCAAAUAAUUAGAGCAUCUCCAAAAGACUCUUUAUUUAGGAUCCUAACUUGAGAUUUGAGGAGGGAGGGGAAAAAUGUUGCUCCAAGAGACUCUUAAGUGGCUUAAGAGCCUCUUGUUUCUCUCUCCUCUCUCCUCAAAGUUAAGAGCCACCACAUGGCUCCUAACUUAUUUUUUUACAAUAAAAAAAUCUUUCCCUCCAAUUCAUCUCCAUCUUUCACUCUCUUUUGUUGUAGUGGAGCCCAAUAUAUGAAUAAAAUAUUAAAUAGAGAAGAGAUGUAGAGAGUAUUGUUGGAGUUUACACUCUUAACUUUGUUCUAAAUUGCUAAGAGCCACAUUUUUUAUAUUAUAUUUAGGAGCCAACAAGGAGGCUCUUGGAGAUGCUCUGUACAUUUUAAGAAAAAGCUAAAAAAAGAUAAUUAUGUAUGGAACACUAUUUAAAUCUGGGGAGAAAAGAAGAGAGAGUUUUGAGAAACCCUAAAACAGAAAGGAGGUGAUUGGGAAUAGGUAUUGAUUGUGAAAAAAGUAAAAGAAAAAGGCAGGAGGAGAAUAGUGUUUACAAGUGAUGAUGAUGAGGGGCAGGCUCUGCUUCUGCUGCAGAAUCUCACAUCUUGAAGAAAGACUGGACCACUUUAUAUAUUGUGAUAGGUCUAGGUGUAUAUAGUAGCCAUUUCUUGUGUGUGUAUAUGUCACUGGUUGGGUGGAAGAGAAUAUAGAAUACGGUCAAAUGUACGUCAAAUUAGCACAGUCAUGGAGAUGGAGUAUGUAAUAUGCUUGCUGCAUGGGUAUUCGUAAACUAUGUCUUAACCUACCUAUGUUCUGGGAC